Molecule: RNA transcript, 4241 nt
Organism: Catharus ustulatus (Swainson's thrush)
Lineage: Eukaryota; Metazoa; Chordata; Aves; Passeriformes; Turdidae
Gene: MYO1F
Gene name: myosin IF
Exons: 29
Source: RefSeq, a predicted model, not a curated record
CUCACAUCAGAAAGGCAAAAGCCGAGUGCUCCGGGAUGGCCCCGGGCCGGCGGUGACAGCAGCCCCGAGGAGCCCGGCCUGGCAGGGACACAGGGACAUCAUGGGCAGCAAGGAGCGCUUCCACUGGCAGAGCCACAAUGUCAAGCAGAGCGGCGUGGACGACAUGGUGCUGCUGUCCAAAAUCUCGGAGGAUGCCAUCGUGGAGAACCUCAAGAAGCGAUUUAUGGACGACUUCAUCUUUACCUACAUCGGGCCCGUGCUGAUCUCCGUGAACCCCUUCAAGCAGAUGCCGUAUUUCACCGACCGCGAGAUCGAGCUGUACCAGGGCGCGGCCCAGUAUGAAAAUCCCCCCCACAUCUACGCCCUGACUGACAACAUGUACCGGAACAUGCUGAUCGACGGGGAGAACCAGUGUGUCAUCAUCAGCGGGGAAAGCGGAGCUGGGAAAACGGUGGCAGCAAAAUACAUCAUGGGCUACAUCUCCAAAGUGUCUGGGGGUGGGGAGAAAGUCCAGCACGUGAAGGACAUCAUCCUGCAGUCCAACCCGCUGCUGGAGGCCUUUGGAAAUGCCAAAACUGUCCGGAACAACAAUUCCAGCCGCUUCGGAAAAUACUUUGAGAUCCAGUUCAGCCGGGGUGGAGAACCCGACGGGGGCAAGAUCUCCAACUUCCUGCUGGAGAAGUCGCGCGUGGUGAGCCAGAACGAGUGCGAGCGGAACUUCCACAUCUACUACCAGCUCAUCCAAGGGGCAUCCCAAGAGCAGCGGCAGAAUUUGGGCAUCAUGAGCCCAGAUUAUUACUACUACCUGAACCAGACAGACACCUACCAGGUGGAGGGCACAGAUGACCGCAGCGACUUCCACGAGACCAUGAAUGCCAUGCAGGUCAUCGGCAUCCGCGGCGAGGACCAGCAGCUGGUGCUGCAGAUCGUGGCAGGGAUCCUGCACCUGGGCAACAUCAGCUUCAGGGAGGAGGGCAACUACGCCCGGGUGGAGAACACUGACUCCCUGGCCUUCCCUGCCUACCUGCUGGGGGUCGACCAGGAGCGCCUCAACGAGAAGGUCACCAGCAGGAAAAUGGACAGCAAGUGGGGCGGCCGCUCCGAGUCCAUCACCGUCACCCUCAACGUGGAGCAGGCGGCCUACACCCGCGACGCCCUGGCCAAGGGGCUCUACGCCCGUGUCUUCGACUUCCUGGUGGAGUCCAUCAACCGGGCCAUGCAGAAGCCGUAUGAGGAGUACAGUGUUGGUGUGCUGGACAUCUACGGCUUUGAGAUAUUCCAGAAAAAUGGCUUUGAGCAAUUCUGCAUUAACUUUGUGAAUGAGAAGCUGCAGCAGAUCUUCAUUGAGCUGACCCUGAAAGCAGAGCAGGAGGAAUAUGUGCAGGAGGGGAUCAAGUGGACACAGAUCCAGUACUUCAACAACAAGGUGGUGUGUGACCUGAUAGAGAACAAGCUGAACCCCCCUGGCAUCAUGAGUGUCCUGGAUGAUGUGUGUGCCACCAUGCACGCCACGGGUGAGGGCGCUGACCAGACCCUGCUGCAGAAGCUGCAGGCGGCCGUGGGCACCCACGAGCACUUCAACAGCUGGAACUCGGGUUUUGUCAUCCACCACUACGCUGGCAAGGUGUCCUAUGACGUGAAUGGCUUCUGCGAGCGCAACCGCGACGUGCUGUUCACCGACCUGAUCGAGCUCAUGCAGAGCAGUGAAUACGGUUUCAUCCGGAUGCUUUUCCCAGAAAAACUUGAUUCUGACAAAAAGGGACGACCGACCACCGCGGGCUCCAAAAUCAAGAAACAGGCCAACGACCUGGUGAACACGCUCAUGAAGUGCACCCCACACUACAUCCGCUGCAUCAAACCCAACGAGACCAAGAAACCCCGGGACUGGGAGGAGAGCAGGGUGAAGCACCAGGUGGAGUACCUGGGGCUGAAGGAGAACAUCCGUGUGCGCCGGGCUGGGUUCGCCUACCGCCGCCUCUUCCACAAGUUCCUGCAACGCUAUGCCAUCCUGACCCCCGAGACGUGGCCGUCGUGGCGCGGGGACGAGCGCCAAGGGGUGCAGCACCUGCUGCACUCGGUGAACAUGGAGCCAGACCAGUACCAGAUGGGCCGGAGCAAGGUGUUCGUCAAGAACCCCGAGUCGCUCUUCCUGCUCGAGGAGAUGAGGGAGAGGAAAUUUGACAGCUUUGCCCGGGUGAUCCAGAAGGCGUGGCGCCGGCACAUCGCCAUCCGCAAAUACGAGCAGAUGAGAGAGGAGGCUGCCAGCAUCCUCUACAACUUCAAAGAGCGGCGGAGGAACAGCAUCAACAGGAAUUUCGUGGGGGAUUACCUGGGCAUGGAGGAGCGGCCGGAGCUGCGCCAGUUCCUGGCCAAGCGCGAGCGCAUCGACUUCGCCGACUCCAUCACCAAAUACGACCGGAGGUUCAAGCCCAUCAAGCGGGAUUUCAUCCUCACUCCCAAGUACUUCUACCUGAUCGGGAGGGAGAAGGUGAAGAAGGGGCCUGAGAAGGGGCAGAUCAAGGAGGUGCUCAAGAAGAAGGUGGAGCUGCAGGCGGUGAGCGGAGUCUCACUGAGCACCAGGCAGGACGACUUCUUCAUCCUCCACGAGAAUCAUGCCGACAAUUUCUUGGAGUCCAUCUUCAAGACAGAGCUGAUCAGCCUCCUGUGCAAACGCUUCGAGGAGCUCACGCGCUCCAAGCUGCCCCUCUCCUUCAAGGACACACUACAGUUUCGGGUGAAGAAGGAGGGCUGGGGCGGCGGUGGCACCCGCAACGUCACCUUCAUCAGAGGACAGGGCGACGUGGCCACCCUCAAAGCUGGAGGCAAAACCCUUACGGUCAGCAUCGGGGAUGGGCUCCCCAGGAAUGCCAAGCCCACAAGGAAGGGGGCAGCACAGGGCAGAGGUGGCAGCAGGUGUCCAGCACCCUCCCGAAGUGCCCCACCAGCACCCAGAGGAGCCUGCAGGAACGGGGGUCCCCAGAUCUCCCGUGGUGAUGGCUUGGCCCAGAGGGACACCUACAGGAUGCCCCAGAAGCACACGCGGGGCCCCCCGGCCGCGGCUCUUCCCCCCCGCAAUGCCGGCCACCAGCACAAGGCACAGCCCCCAUCCGAGCACAACAUGGACUUCCUCAACGUGCCCGACCAGGGGGUGGCUGGGAUGCAGCGCCGGCGCAGCGUGAGCCAGCGGCCGCCCCCGGCCCGGCGCCCCAAGCCCCAGCCCAAGGCGGAGGGGCCGCGGUGCCGGGCGCUCUACCAGUACAUCGGGCAGGACGUGGAUGAGCUCAGCUUUAAUGAGGGGGAUGUCAUUGAUGUCCUGAUGGAAGAUGCCUCUGGCUGGUGGAAGGGCCGGCUGCACGGCAAGGAAGGGCUUUUCCCUGGGAAUUACGUGCAGAAGAUCUGAGCUGGAGGAAAGGAAGAGGUCACCAUCUUCCCACCCCACUUCCAGAGGCUGCGCCCAAGGUAGCAGGGGUGGCUCCGUGAAGUUUUUCCAGCAGUGCUGGCACAGAGUGAGCGUUUCCUCAGGAGCCCCCGGACUGUGCCAGUGCCAAGCGCUGGAUCCCGCAGCCCCUUUAGCCGGGGCAGCCCUGCAGCAAGGACGGGCUCUUGGCUGCUUGUUCGUACCCUGGGACUGAUACUGCUCUGCGUGCCAGCUCUCACUGUGGCUGUGACAAAAGCUGUGACGUGGGCAGACACAGAUCAGAGGCAGCCCCGCUCCUCCCACAAUGAACCCUCCAGAAAACGCUGAAUACACAAACCAGCUCUCCCAGGGCUGCAGCUCAGGCAUCUCCACGCUCCGCUGUGACUCUGAUCGCUCAGCACAGCCCCGGGGCUGCCGGGGCAGCGGUAAAACAGGACCAGGCUGCUGUCACCGUGCCCUGGUUCCACAGGAAAAACCCCAAGGAUCGCUCAGACAAAGGCCACGGAGCUGUCACAGCUUUGUCUGCCGGUGCUCAGGGAGCUGCGGGCAGGGGGGUCUCAGCCAUGAGGGGCCAGGAUCGAUGCUUGGGGUGGCAACCGCGACCCUCGGCCGUGCCGGCUCCGGGGACACCCCAAAGCCCAGGGCAGGGGGACAGUGGGGCUGGGGGUGCUGCUGGGGCUGAGUGCCACCCACAGCUGCUCCAGCAGCUUUUCAGCCGGGAGAGCCAUGAACAGGGCCCAAACGUCCGGCUCAUGGCCGGCCCUGUGCCAGAGGAAGUGACGACAGCCUGACCCCAGAGAGCCCGGCCUGAUCCCUCAGCCCG